CCCAAAUGUUGGGCCUUUAACAAAAACAGGUCUUUAAAAGAGUUUGAAUCUUGACAUUCUAUUUUAUGAGGUAAGAAGGAAUCUUUGAGCUCCUGAAUGAUGUCAGACAUUUUCUGUCAACUGUAGACUCUUUCUUGUGAAGUCCACAUUUCUGGAGAAAGGAGAGCGGCUCUGAGUUGUCUGACGGGACCUCGUGAGUUGUCCCGGGCUCACUUUGGAAUCCAUUGCCAUGGUCCCAACCCCACGUUUCCCAGACGGGGGUACGACCGCCGAGACAGGAGGCAUGCUCUGCCGUGUACCACCCUGUGUCAUGGGUUGUGAGGGCCUUUCCACUCCGCUGUGCAGGUGGCUCUCAGGUACCCUGGCCUGGAGGUGGUCUUCCUGCCCAAUUCCCAGAUCAUCCUCCAAUCUGCACCAGUCCUUUAGAGAAGUGGAAUCUGCUAGAACUGUCAAGGAUUAUGAAGGUGCGCCAGAGUUCAGACUGAGAAGAACUUAUUUGGAUUCUGGGACUAUGUUCCCGCAAGGACUUUUAUUCCACACUUUGUUCUACGAAACUUAAACGGAAACAACUUCUCAGGGUGAACAGCACAAUUUGGCUACGUAUCUUUAUCCUAAGUUCCCUCUUGUCUCUCUUGGUACUAUGUUUCAAUCGCUUCUGCCCUUUGCAUAAAAUGUUCCAACUUUUAUAUGGUAAAUUGUAGUUAUCAUUGAGUAAAUACAUUCGUGUGGGCACUAGACACAAGGAC
Molecule: long non-coding RNA, 746 nt
Filed under: Felis catus (domestic cat)
Lineage: Eukaryota; Metazoa; Chordata; Mammalia; Carnivora; Felidae
Description: lncRNA (ENSFCAG00000041608.2)
Source: RNAcentral